This 459-nucleotide ribosomal RNA is filed under the name uncultured bacterium. Its description in RNAcentral is "partial 16S ribosomal RNA". It matches the Rfam family "Bacterial small subunit ribosomal RNA", at positions 338 to 795 of the family's 1533-position model. The record is from RNAcentral.
CCUACGGGUGGCAGCAGUGAGGAAUAUUGGUCAAUGGUCGGGAGACUGAACCAGCCAAGCCGCGUGAGGGAGGAAGGUACAGAGUAUCGUAAACCUCUUUUGUCAGGGAACAAAGGCGGGGACGUGUCCCCGGCUGAGUGUACCUGUAGAAAAAGCAUCGGCUAACUCCGUGCCAGCAGCCGCGGUAAUACGGAGGAUGCGAGCGUUAUCCGGAUUUAUUGGGUUUAAAGGGUGCGCAGGCGGUCUGUUAAGUCAGCGGUCAAAGCCCGGGGCUCAACCCCGGCCCGCCGUUGAAACUGGCAGUCUCGAGUUGGAGAGAAGUAUGCGGAAUGCGCGGUGUAGCGGUGAAAUGCAUAGAUAUCGCGCAGAACUCCGAUUGCGAAGGCAGCAUGCCGGCUCCAAACUGACGCUGAGGCACGAAAGCGUGGGUAUCGAACAGGAUUAGAUACCCCGGUAGUC